Molecule: transfer RNA, 76 nt
Filed under: Actinobacteria bacterium HGW-Actinobacteria-7
Lineage: Bacteria; Bacillati; Actinomycetota
Description: tRNA-Arg
Rfam family: tRNA
About the family: Transfer RNA (tRNA) molecules are approximately 80 nucleotides in length. Their secondary structure includes four short double-helical elements and three loops (D, anti-codon, and T loops).
Source: RNAcentral
GGGCACGUAGUUCAGCGGAUAGAAUAAUCGCCUCCUAAGCGAUAGGUCGCUGGUUCAAUUCCAGCCGUGCCCACCA